Molecule: ribosomal RNA, 253 nt
Filed under: uncultured bacterium
Lineage: Bacteria
Description: partial 16S ribosomal RNA
Rfam family: Bacterial small subunit ribosomal RNA
Source: RNAcentral
UACGUAGGGUGCAAGCGUUAUCCGGAUUCACUGGGUUUAAAGGGUGCGUAGGUGGGUUGGUAAGUCAGUGGUGAAAUCCCCGAGCUUAACUUGGGAACUGCCAUUGAUACUAUCAGUCUUGAAUAUUGUGGAGGUUAGCGGAAUAUGUCAUGUAGCGGUGAAAUGCUUAGAUAUGACAUAGAACACCAAUUGCGAAGGCAGCUGGCUACGCAUAUAUUGACACUGAGGCACGAAAGCGUGGGGAUCAAACAGG